UACGAAGGGGGCUAGCGUUGUUCGGAUUCACUGGGCGUAAAGGGUGCGCAGGCGGCUAAGUGUGUCAGAUGUGAAAUCCCGAGGCUUAACCUCGGAACUGCGUCUGAAACUACUUGGCUAGAGUACUGGAGAGGGUAACGGAAUUCACGGUGUAGCAGUGAAAUGCGUAGAUAUCGUGAGGAACACCAGAGGCGAAGGCGGUUACCUGGACAGUUACUGACGCUCAGGCACGAAAGCGUGGGGAGCAAAAGGG
RNAcentral lists this ribosomal RNA (253 nucleotides) under uncultured bacterium. Its description in RNAcentral is "partial 16S ribosomal RNA". It matches the Rfam family "Bacterial small subunit ribosomal RNA", at positions 524 to 776 of the family's 1533-position model. The record is from RNAcentral.